AGUGAACGCUGGCGGUAGGCCUAACACAUGCAAGUCGAACGGCAGCACAGUAAGAGCUUGCUCUUACGGGUGGCGAGUGGCGGACGGGUGAGGAAUACAUCGGAAUCUACUUUUUCGUGGGGGAUAACGUAGGGAAACUUACGCUAAUACCGCAUACGACCUACGGGUGAAAGCAGGGGAUCUUCGGACCUUGCGCGAUUGAAUGAGCCGAUGUCGGAUUAGCUAGUUGGCGGGGUAAAGGCCCACCAAGGCGACGAUCCGUAGCUGGUCUGAGAGGAUGAUCAGCCACACUGGAACUGAGACACGGUCCAGACCCCUACGGGAGGCAGCAGUGGGGAAUAUUGGACAAUGGGCGCAAGCCUGAUCCAGCCAUACCGCGUGGGUGAAGAAGGCCUGCGGGUUGUAAAGCCCUUUUGUUGGGAAAGAAAAGCAGCAGGUUAAUACCCCGCUGUUCUGACGGUACCCAAAGAAUAAGCACCGGCGAACUUCGU
RNAcentral lists this ribosomal RNA (491 nucleotides) under uncultured bacterium. RNAcentral describes it as "partial 16S ribosomal RNA". It matches the Rfam family "Bacterial small subunit ribosomal RNA", at positions 29 to 506 of the family's 1533-position model. The record is from RNAcentral.